AGAGUUUGAUCCUGGCUCAGGAUGAACGCUGGCGGCGUGCCUAAUACAUGCAAGUCGAACGAAGAGAGAAGCUUGCUUCUCUUUUAGUGGCGAACGGGUGAGUAAUACAUAAGCAACCUACCCAUUCGACCGGGAUAACAGUUGGAAACGACUGCUAAUACCGGAUAGAUACCGGAUAGGGGAUUUGAAGGCAUCUACUGAUCAUUAAAGCUGGGACACAGCACGAAUGGAUGGGCUUAUGGCGCAUUAGUUAGUUGGCGGGGUAACGGCCCACCAAGACGAUGAUGCGUAGCCGACCUGAGAGGGUGACCGGCCACACUGGGACUGAGACACGGCCCAGACUCCUACGGGAGGCAGCAGUAGGGAAUUUUCGGCAAUGGGCGCAAGCCUGACCGAGCAACGCCGCGUGAGUGAAGAAGGCCUUCGGGUUGUAAAGCUCUGUUGUAAGGGAAGAAUGGCCAAGAGAGGGAAUGCUCUUGGAGUGACGGUACCUUACCAGAAAGCCACGGCUAACUACGUGCCAGCAGCCGCGGUAAUACGUAGGUGGCAAGCGUUAUCCGGAAUUAUUGGGCGUAAAGGGAGCGUAGGCGGUUUGAUAAGUCUGAGGUGAAAGCCCCGGGCUUAACUAUUGUGAGCCAUAGAAACUGAUAGACUUGAGUGCAGGAGAGGGAAGUGGAAUUCCAAGUGUAGCGGUAAAAUGCGUAGAUAUAUGGAGGAACACCAGUGGCGAAGGCGGUUGCCUGGCCUGUAACUGACGCUGAGGCUCGAAAGCGUGGGGAGCAAAUAGGAUUAGAUACCCUAGUAGUCCACGCUGUAAACGAUGAGUACUAGGUGUAGCGACCCCCUCGGUGCCACAGCUAACGCAAUAAGUACUCCGCCUGGGGAGUAUGCACGCAAGUGUGAAACUCAAAGGAAUUGACGGGGGCCCGCACAAGCGGUGGAGUAUGUGGUUUAAUUCGAAGCAACGCGAAGAACCUUACCAAGUCUUGACAUACCGCGCAAGGCCCUGGAGACAGGGAGAUAGUUAUGGCGGAUACAGGUGGUGCAUGGUUGUCGUCAGCUCGUGUCGUGAGAUGUUGGGUUAAGUCCCGCAACGAGCGCAACCCUUAUCUUUAGUUACCAUCAUUCAGUUGGGCACUCUAGUGAGACUGCCGGUGACAAACCGGAGGAAGGUGGGGAUGACGUCAAAUCAUCAUGCCCCUUAUGACUUGGGCUACACACGUACUACAAUGGCGUAUACAGAGAGACGCGAAGUGGCGACAUGGAGCAAACCUCACAAAGUACGUCUCAGUUCGGAUUGUAGUCUGCAACUCGACUACAUGAAGUUGGAAUCGCUAGUAAUCGCGAAUCAGAAUGUCGCGGUGAAUACGUUCCCGGGUCUUGUACACACCGCCCGUCACACCAUGGGAGUUGGGAGCGCCCGAAGCCAGUGACCUAACCGCAAGGAGGGAGCUGUCGAAGGCGAGACCAAUGACUGGGGUGAAGUCGUAACAAGGUAACCA
Molecule: ribosomal RNA, 1502 nt
Filed under: uncultured bacterium
Lineage: Bacteria
Description: bacterial SSU rRNA
Rfam family: Bacterial small subunit ribosomal RNA
Source: RNAcentral